This 293-nucleotide ribosomal RNA is filed under the name uncultured bacterium. RNAcentral describes it as "partial 16S ribosomal RNA". It matches the Rfam family "Bacterial small subunit ribosomal RNA", at positions 775 to 1067 of the family's 1533-position model. The record is from RNAcentral.
GGAUUAGAUACCCUGGUAGUCCACGCCGUAAACGAUGUCUACUAGCCGUUGGGGGGCUUGACCCUUUAGUGGCGCAGCUAACGCGAUAAGUAGACCGCCUGGGGAGUACGGUCGCAAGAUUAAAACUCAAAUGAAUUGACGGGGGCCCGCACAAGCGGUGGAGCAUGUGGUUUAAUUCGAGGCAACGCGAAAAACCUUACCAGGCCUUGACAUCCUGAGAACUUUCUAGAGAUAGAUUGGUGCCUUCGGGAACUCAGUGACAGGUGUUGCAUGGCUGUCGUCAGCUCGUGCUG